UUUCCAUUUCCACCUCGAGGUCGGCAAGGAGUUCACGGCUGCCCUUUCCUAAGACACUAACGGAUGCCCCAGUAUCUAGGAGUCCAGCAAUCCGAUGUCCUCUUAUCUGCACUUCGGCAAAUACUCUGGGAUCGCGUCCUGCUCCUCGUCUGACUGCCUCGGCCACCUCUUUGCGAGUCUGUCGCCUUUCCUUAAAUCUGGAACGGGCCUUUUGGAGUCUACGACUGACACCGCGCAUCCCCUCCAGCUGCCUGUCAUCAAAGAUCUGGUUUCGAAUUUUGGACCAUCGUUCAUUUCUUCGCGGGCUUCUGUCCCGAGCGCUGAUCUCCCGCUUUCAUCAUGCCCGAUCGUGCGUUUCCCGAGCAAUUUGGACACGUUGGAGUAAACAUUUCUGGCUUUCCGCAGCGGUAACAAAAUAUUUUGCGUUCCUUCGCCACGAAGUCUCGGAACCCGUGGUCGAACUGGCCGCAAUUCCAGCAACACAGCCUGGGUUUGUUCGCCAGGUGAGUUUCUUCUACUAUCCUUGCUUCGUCUUCAUCCAGA
This is an RNA transcript of Drosophila miranda, 543 nucleotides long. RefSeq lists it as uncharacterized. The transcript has 2 exons. NCBI's taxonomy places the organism in Eukaryota, Metazoa, Arthropoda, Insecta, Diptera, Drosophilidae. The record is from RefSeq and is a predicted model, not a curated record.